This 452-nucleotide ribosomal RNA is filed under the name uncultured organism. RNAcentral describes it as "partial 16S ribosomal RNA". It matches the Rfam family "Bacterial small subunit ribosomal RNA", at positions 329 to 797 of the family's 1533-position model. The record is from RNAcentral.
ACGUACACUCCUACGGGAGGCAGCAGUGGGGAAUAUUGGACAAUGGGCGCAAGCCUGAUCCAGCCAUGCCGCGUGAGUGAUGAAGGCCCUAGGGUUGUAAAGCUCUUUCACCGGUGAAGAUAAUGACGGUAACCGGAGAAGAAGCCCCGGCUAACUUCGUGCCAGCAGCCGCGGUAAUACGAAGGGGGCUAGCGUUGUUCGGAUUUACUGGGCGUAAAGCGCACGUAGGCGGACUAUUAAGUCAGGGGUGAAAUCCCGGGGCUCAACCCCGGAACUGCCUUUGAUACUGGUAGUCUUGAGUUCGAGAGAGGUGAGUGGAAUUCCGAGUGUAGAGGUGAAAUUCGUAGAUAUUCGGAGGAACACCAGUGGCGAAGGCGGCUCACUGGCUCGAUACUGACGCUGAGGUACGAAAGCGUGGGGAGCAAACAGGAUUAGAAACCCGAGUAGUCCCA